Molecule: long non-coding RNA, 281 nt
Filed under: Mytilus galloprovincialis (Mediterranean mussel)
Lineage: Eukaryota; Metazoa; Mollusca; Bivalvia; Mytilida; Mytilidae
Source: RNAcentral
AUUUUCUUAAUUUUUUGUCAAUAAAACAUUUCACACAUAUUUUCAUGUUUAAUUCAAUUUGUAUCUUAUAAUAAUUAUAUUAGAUGCAUGUUUCAUUAUAAUACGUUAUUCUGAUUGGCUAACUUCACAUCACAUGUUAUUCCGUAAGCAAUUGCAGCACUCAAUAAAACUUAAUCAUUCAUGAUGACACAAGGUCCCACAAUAAAGUGCACAGGUGAAUUAAACAAAAACUUGAUAGAAAUCGUGUAUUAAUGAUCCUAGCUAAAAAAUGUAAUUAUAAG